AGUGAACGCUGGCGGUAGGCCUAACACAUGCAGGUCGAACGGCAGCACAGUAAGAGCUUGCUCUUACGGGUGGCGAGUGGCGGACGGGUGAGGAAUACAUCGGAAUCUACUUUUUCGUGGGGGAUAACGUAGGGAAACUUACGCUAAUACCGCAUAAGACCUACGGGUGAAAGCAGGGGAUCUUCGGACCUUGCGCGAUUGAAUGAGCCGAUGUCGGAUUAGCUAGUUGGCGGGGUAAAGGCCCACCAAGGCGACGAUCCGUAGCUGGUCUGAGAGGAUGAUCAGCCACACUGGAACUGAGACACGGUCCAGACUCCUACGGGAGGCAGCAGUGGGGAAUAUUGGACAAUGGGCGCAAGCCUGAUCCAGCCAUACCGCGUGGGUGAAGAAGGCCUUCGGGUUGUAAAGCCCUUUUGUUGGGAAAGAAAAGCAGCAGGUUAAUACCCCGCUGUUCUGACGGUACCCAAAGAAUAAGCACCGGCUAACUUCGUG
RNAcentral lists this ribosomal RNA (492 nucleotides) under uncultured bacterium. Its description in RNAcentral is "partial 16S ribosomal RNA". It matches the Rfam family "Bacterial small subunit ribosomal RNA", at positions 29 to 507 of the family's 1533-position model. The record is from RNAcentral.